Molecule: long non-coding RNA, 972 nt
Filed under: Nicotiana tabacum (common tobacco)
Lineage: Eukaryota; Viridiplantae; Streptophyta; Magnoliopsida; Solanales; Solanaceae
Description: long non-coding RNA (NTAB_LNC008558)
Source: RNAcentral
AUCGAGUCAAAUGAUAAAGACACUAAUUAAUAAUAACUAAACUUUGCAAUUACCAAAUCCUAAUGUGAUCAAACAUGGAAAAGAUGUAUAAUUGAUGGUGCAUGAAAUUCACAAACUUACAGAAAGUCAUGAAAUUCACAAACUUACAGAAAGUUUCUUGCCAAAUUACCAACAUCACAAAGAAAAGGGAUUUAAAACCACUCAGAGUUGCAUCGUCUCUGGAUAACAAUCCAUGAGGACUUACAGAGACGUGCAAUGUUAUUUAGUGUCUUGCAUGAAGAAUAAAUUUCUCUUGUUUUUACUAAGCUUUCCAUCUAAGCAAUACUUAUGUAAAGAGAUUUCAAGUGUCUCAUCUCACAUCUCACUUAUGAGAGAAGCAGUAGCAUUAGUUUCAACUGAACUGUCCCAAACACCACCAGAGACCCCAAAGUUGAGAUUAUAUUUGGGCUGCUUGUUGGGGGAAAACAAUCCAAAAUGUUUCUCCAGUUCAGGGUUCUUGUUGUUCUCAUCAAACAUGGCAAAUAUAUAGGUCUCAAUAGGUCCAGGCUUUCUUGGGCUACCCUCUUUAGCGUGUUGAAUUAAGUUCCUCAAGUAAGUUGCUGCAUUGUCAUAUGUAGCUCCAAAUGCACCAGCAGAUGGCCAGCCACUCUCGGACACAACAAUCCCUACAGAUGCCCCUCCUGAUCGCUCGAGGGCAGCAUACACAGAAUCCAGCAUUGCAUCAAAUAAGUUCCUAUAUUGGCGUGAACCAUCUUGUACUACCACAUUUGGUGCUGUAAAAAGAGAAUAGGGGAGAGAAAUCUGCCCUGGAUUACCAGAAUAGCUGAAAUAGGGGUAAAUGUUAACGAGUAAAGGUGCACGUGUGUCCCUUAAGAACCCAACAAUUGGAUCAGUAAACCACCUAGCAUCGUUCCUAAACGAACCCUGUGAUGGUGGAUAAGAGUUUCCAAUCAAGGUCAUGUCUACAGAAGU